Molecule: long non-coding RNA, 180 nt
Organism: Cyclopterus lumpus (lumpfish)
Lineage: Eukaryota; Metazoa; Chordata; Actinopteri; Perciformes; Cyclopteridae
Exons: 4
Source: RefSeq, a predicted model, not a curated record
CCUCUACAUCACGACAGUCGUGGUGGAUGUGUACAAGUAUCAAAGUAUUUCCAGGAGGCUGAAGCAGAUUGAGCUGAAGGGGGAACACACCUACAGCGGUCUGAGAACCUGCAGCGUCCCCUCUGACUAUGACCGACUCCAGCCUCGACAGCCGAAAGCGAACGCCUCUCUUGAAGAUCA